UUCGCGAUGCGAAUAAAAACGUCGGGAAUUCGCGCAAACAUAGACAGAUCGCGGCGAAAGUUUCUUUGAAAUUUCACCCGAGCAUUUCCUCGCGGAUUUUUGGCGUUGAGCCCAAACUACGAUUGAUUCGACGCUAUGACGAAAGCGCUAUGGUUGCUUGGCUGGCUAACGCUGUUGAUCGCAUCCAGACACGGCGAGGGCCAACAAUGCAAUUAUUACCAAGAUAUGAUCGCUGGCACCACGUACUACGUUUACAACCCGAGUUAUCCGAAUUACUAUCAAGGAUCUCAGUCGUGCAUCUGGACCCUGAGGAGCCCCACUCGAAUCAACUUGACCUGCUCUGUAUUUGAGUUACCAGACACCCAGAACUGCGCCGGGGACAGAAUGGCCGUCCAAAUAAGUCCAGACACCACUCAACUGUACUGUGGCUCGAAGACAUUCAGUGUGGAGUCUGAAAGUGAGGAGAUGAUCAUCACGUUAACAGCGUACGGAUGGACACGGGGUCGAUUCCUUUGCAUAGCGGGAACUACCACCAAUGUCGAGCCUUGUCGAUGCGGAUGGAAGAAUCCUUCUAGAAUUGUUGGUGGCACGGAGACAGGGGUGCACGAGUUUCCUAUGAUGGCUGGGAUGGUGGACGCUACAACACGACGCGUGUACUGCGGUAGUACCAUAAUAUCCCCUUCGCACGUGGUGACGGCAGCUCAUUGCAUCGUAAACAGAAAUAUCACGACGAUUGGAGUUGUGGUGGGCGAACACGACCCAUACACAGGGACAGACACGAAUGCCACGGUGCUGUAUCGCGUCAAGAGCGUCAUCAUCCACCCGGAGUACGUUCGCGAAUUGUUCUUGAACGACAUAGCUGUCGUUGAACUGGAUGGGAAGAUACGUUUCAGUAACGAGAUUGGCCCCGCUUGUCUACCCUUUCAACAUUCGCCGGACACUUUUGGUGGCGCCUACGUCGAUUUAUUGGGCUGGGGAUCGACGGAUUUCGGCGGACCACCGUCCAGCACCCUCCAAAAGGUCACGGUAAGCGUGAUCACGAACCUCGAAUGCUCGGCUAUCUAUCCUACCAUAAAUAUAAAUAGAGAUACGAUAUGCACCUACGGGAAAGGAAAGGACGGAUGCCAGAUGGACAGCGGUGGGCCAGUUCUGUGGCAGAAUCCCACGACCAGGCGAGUUUCGCUCGUGGGAAUUAUCAGUCAGGGUAGCGGUUGCGGAAUCUCGGCCGGCGUGAACUGCAGAGUCGGCGGUUACGUGGAUUGGAUUACCUCGGUAACCCCAAACACCAUUUACUGCAUGGUCGAAUAAACAAACCGUACCUGAUCAUUUCGCCUCGAUUUGACGCGGCGUCGACUGCGCAACUGAUCGUCCCAAUAGUUUCGUUGACGGAACAACUCGCAUUCUACGCAAGCGGAUUCUCUGUUUUUAUACAGUUAACACAGUUAGUAUAUUCUUCCUAUGGAAGCGACGUAACGUCAUUCGAAUCAAACGGUCGAAGCUACGUCAAUCCAUAGGCCAGUCCCCAGGGGCAAAAUAAUAUUGGCAAAGAGAGUAGAGGAUUGAACGACGUCCUUAUCGAUACGAACUUUCUGAAUAUUAAGUGAUCAGGCAACGUGGUAUUAUAUAAAAGUUUACGUAUAUAUUAAGGUCUCUGUACACAUAUAUGUACAGAUAUGUAUAUAUAUGUCCAGAGAACUUAAUAUAUACGUAAUCUUUGAAAAGAAUUAGAGGUCAACUACUUACUCGAAUAACCUUCUAUUAUUAUCAAUAAUGGGCGAGAUAAGCGUUGAAGAAAGCGUAUGAAGUGACGCACACUAUUUUUUAUAGGUUUCCCUAUAAAUUCACAUGUAAAUGCUCACCUUAAUGCAACAAGAUUCUUCUAAUUAUCUAUGGGGAUUGGCCUCGAGAUUGGAGAUGACCGGAGCUUCUAUCCGUUAUCUAAAAUUAAUGUAUACUCGCGCGAAUACAUUUACGUUCGUUAUAUUAAA
Hylaeus anthracinus is the source of this 1988-nucleotide RNA transcript. It is a transcript of the gene named venom serine protease 34-like, with no coding region annotated. The record is from RefSeq and is a predicted model, not a curated record. The transcript has 9 exons. Lineage: Eukaryota; Metazoa; Arthropoda; Insecta; Hymenoptera; Colletidae.